Molecule: non-coding RNA, 48 nt
Organism: Schistosoma curassoni
Lineage: Eukaryota; Metazoa; Platyhelminthes; Trematoda; Strigeidida; Schistosomatidae
Source: Rfam
AUUCAGCUGACCAAUCUCAAAUAGGACGAAACGCGCGUCAAACUAGAU